UACGGGGGGAGCAAGCGUUGUUCGGAUUUACUGGGCGUAAAGGGCGCGUAGGCGGUCGUGACAAGUCACUUGUGAAAUCUCCGGGCUUAACUCGGAACGGUCAAGUGAUACUGUCGUGCUAGAGUACAGAAGGGGCAACUGGAAUUCUCGGUGUAGCGGUGAAAUGCGUAGAUAUCGAGAGGAACACCUGCGGCGAAGGCGGGUUGCUGGGCUGAUACUGACGCUGAGGCGCGAAAGCUAGGGGAGCGAACGGGAUUAGA
RNAcentral lists this ribosomal RNA (260 nucleotides) under uncultured bacterium. RNAcentral's name for it is "partial 16S ribosomal RNA". It matches the Rfam family "Bacterial small subunit ribosomal RNA", at positions 524 to 782 of the family's 1533-position model. The record is from RNAcentral.